This 424-nucleotide ribosomal RNA is filed under the name Candidatus Bipolaricaulota bacterium. Its description in RNAcentral is "partial 23S ribosomal RNA". It matches the Rfam family "Bacterial large subunit ribosomal RNA", at positions 1 to 386 of the family's 2925-position model. Lineage: Bacteria; Candidatus Bipolaricaulota. The record is from RNAcentral.
AAUUAAGCUACUAAGGGCGCACGGUGGAUGCCUUGGCGCCAAGAGCCGAUGAAGGGCGUGGAUGGCUGCGAUAAGCCUCGGGGAGCCGCCAUCAGGCGUUGAUCCGGGGAUGCCCGAAUGGGGAAACCCACCUGGGGGAAUGCCCAGGUAUCCCCUGGCUGAACCCAUAGGCCAGGGGAGGGGAACGAGGGGAACUGAAACAUCUUAGUACCCUCAGGAAAAGAGAUCAUUCCCUGAGUAGUGGCGAGCGAAAGGGGAACAGCCCAAACCGGUCGUGUGGAAAAGGCCGACACCGUUGCACGGCCGGGGUUGUAAGGCGCGACAGGGGUCGUGUCGGAGACCCCAGGGAGUUACCAAUCUGGUCGCUAGCCGAAGGGUACUGGAAAGGCCCGCCAUAGAGGGUGAUAGCCCCGUAGGCGAAAGC